UACAGAGGUCCCAAGCGUUGUUCGGAUUCACUGGGCGUAAAGGGUGCGUAGGUGGUCGGGUAAGUCUGAGGUGAAAUCUCCGAGCUCAACUCGGAAACUGCCUUGGAUACUAUCCGGCUUGAGGGUUGGAGGGGGGACCGGAAUUCUCGGUGUAGCAGUGAAAUGCGUAGAUAUCGAGAGGAACACCAGUGGCGAAGGCGAGUCCCUGGACAACUCCUGACGCUGAGGCACGAAAGCUAGGGGAGCAAACAGG
This 253-nucleotide ribosomal RNA is filed under the name uncultured bacterium. RNAcentral's name for it is "partial 16S ribosomal RNA". It matches the Rfam family "Bacterial small subunit ribosomal RNA", at positions 524 to 776 of the family's 1533-position model. The record is from RNAcentral.